UGGAGUGAAAGAAGCAAUAAAAAGUAUUGUUAACCAUUUCUCGAAUUUCGCCAGUUUACCUUCCGCCAGGCGACUAUUCAAAAAUGGUUUUAGUUUCGGAUAAUAAUCUGCUCUGCUACUCAAUUGCUAUUUAAUAAAAAUUUAGCUAAAAGACAAUAACGGCUAUUAAACUUUUUUGUUAUCAUUUCUAUACAAACUAACUAGAAUUACUUCUUUGUUAGACAAAGUUUUAUCAGAAAAAAAUAUGCGGACGCAAUCACCAAAGAAUGAAAUAGCGAUGUCCAGAAAAAAUGAAACCUUAAAGAAAAACUCAAGGAAAAAAAAAUUCAAAAUCAUAAUAGAAGAAAAUUUGGAUGUAGAAAGCCAUCUCUGUAGACUGUGUCUUAACUCAGCUGAAAAGAGUUUAUACAGCAAUAACUUUACUUUUGAUAUCAUGUACUAUAUUAAAUUUGUUCUAGGAAUAGAGGUAGCACAGAAUGAUGGGAGGCCUGAUCACAUUUGUAGCAACUGUGAGAAGAUUUUCCAUGACAUGGAAGAAUUGAAAAAGACAGCCAAAGCCACACAUAGGGUAUUGGAACUUGAAAUGAUGUCAAAUGCAUUAUCACAGCAAAAAGGUAAUGGUGAUUUACAAUCAAUUGAAAUUGAACGCAAUGAGAAUCUUAAUUCAGCUCCUACAUUAUUGUGGACUUGUAAAAGGUGUGCAAGGAACUUUGAAAAUGAGAAUGAUCUAGCUGUACACAAGAAAGAUGAAAGUUGUUCGAAAGACAAGAAAUAUGUUUGCGAAAUAUGUGGUGUCGAAAUGAAGUCGAUGGCCAGACUAAACAGACACAGGUCAAUACACAGUGACGUGCUACAACACGCAUGCGCGUCGUGUUCGUAUCGGGGCCGCACGCUGUACGCGCUGCGCACGCACGAGCGCACGCACACGCGCGCCCGCCCGCACGCGUGCCCGCGGUGCGCACGCACCUUCCGCAGCGCUGCCAACCUCGCCUCCCAUCGACGGAGGCAUCAGCCGCCGCGCUACCACUGUCCUACGUGUACGAAGCCCUUCAGGUUCAAGGAGGUUGGUCCUCAUCGUCGGGCUUGAGCCCCGUGAGCUCACCUACUAUAUCUAGUCUACAGAAUCACUUGGCAGCCCUACACAGUACAGCUAAACCUCAUGUCUGCAACACAUGCGGAAAGGCCUUUGCUACCCGAAAGCUACUCUGUCGCCAUGAAAGAAGAGUUCAC
Molecule: unclassified non-coding RNA, 1230 nt
Filed under: Bombyx mandarina (wild silkworm)
Lineage: Eukaryota; Metazoa; Arthropoda; Insecta; Lepidoptera; Bombycidae
Description: zinc finger protein 311-like, transcript variant X2
Source: RNAcentral